Fukomys damarensis (Damara mole-rat) is the source of this 3095-nucleotide RNA transcript. It is a transcript of the gene named lin-52 DREAM MuvB core complex component, with no coding region annotated. NCBI's taxonomy places the organism in Eukaryota, Metazoa, Chordata, Mammalia, Rodentia, Bathyergidae. The record is from RefSeq and is a predicted model, not a curated record. The transcript has 8 exons.
UAGCUUUGGCGAUAUGUGAUUGGUCAGAAGCAAAAGAGUCCUUGCCCCCCUCCCACUUUAGUUAAUUCUAUUGGCGGAGAUUCCGAGUCCGCUCGUAGAGAUUUGGGUACUCUAUAUUAAACACGAGGAGACACCGCCCCCUAACCUGAAACCCCGAUUGGCCACAAGCACACCCAAGGCCCCGCCCCCUCAAUCGGUAAAUAAAUAAGACACUUCAAGAAUUUUGCCGUGGCUCCACCUUAACAACCGCGCAGCGGGCGUGGCUACCAGGGGCGGUGCUAGGCAAAUAUUGACCUGUGGGGCGGGGAAAACAGACAGAGUUGCGAGUUGGGGAUAGGCUAUCUCGUUUGGGGCGUGGCUUAUGGAUCUUCACUUUCCCGCCGACGGUUGGCCACAUCACGUGGCAUGGGUUGGAAGAUGGCGUCUCCCACUGACGGGACAGAUUUGGAGGCAUCUUUGCUAAGUUUUGAAAAACUUGAUCGUGCUUCACCAGAUCUUUGGCCAGAACAAUUGCCAGGUGUUGCUGAAUUUGCAGCUUCCUUCAAAAGUCCUAUUACUAGUUCUCCACCUAAGUGGAUGGCUGAAAUAGAACGUGAUGACAUUGAUAUGUUAAAAGAACUGGGAAGCCUCACUACAGCUAAUUUGAUGGAGAAGGUACGAGGCCUACAGAACCUGGCCUAUCAGCUGGGACUGGAUGAGUGUUUUCUCUCUUUUAUUUGCUUUGUAAUUCCAGCCAGAGAGAUGACACGAGGGAAGUUCCUCAACAUUCUAGAGAAGCCCAAGAAGUAGCAGCUGCUUGUGCACAGGGACUGUAACCAAUCUCCCUUCCCGGUGCAGUUCUGACGAUGCACACCUCAUGCUUCCUUAGGAGAGGCUGGAUCUGUACCUCCAGGACUGCCCUUCCCUGCUCCUGGCACUCUGCACCUCUGAGGACAUUUGGUGUCAAGAGAAGAAUCUGCUCUACCCAAGGAUCAUUGCUGUUAUUGUCAAUGUCUUAGCCUUGGAUAUAGGUAACACCAGAGGUCCUGUUGUUCUUAAAGGUCGAAGUUGUGCUUUCUCAUUUCCAAAAGCGAUUUGGGAGCCCCGGGAUCUUGUAGUUGAUUUAAUACUGUGGUGGCAAAGUCAAUUGUGUCAUGUUGACUGGAUGGGUUCUUUGGAGCUGUACUUGAUCUCUUAGGCAGUAUUUAUGAUCCGAGGAGAUAAAAGACCUACUAGAUUCUGGACCAGACCAUGCGCCCUGACCUGUGAACUCUCCAGUCUGUAGUAAGUUCCAAGAUUCUCCAGCUGGAGAGACCAGAAUCUUCUCUCAAAAUAUCUGCUUUUAAACUCCUACCCUUCUCAUGACAGUCCCACCCUCAGUGUCAGUCAUUCCCCCACCUCCCAGCCCACCUUUCUGGUCUGAUUCCGGGUCAGGAGAUCCUUCAGUAGCUUGAAGUGCAAAAGGCCCAUGCUGAUUGGGUUGAGUUAUCUGUUACAGAUUUAAGUGAAAGAGUCAGUAUGGCCUGACAGGGAAAGGGCGUGGUUUGUGGGAGUUCCCAUUUGAAUGAAAACUAGAAUCCUUAUUAACCUAGUGUGUGCUUUGGGAUGGAGACAAUGUUCUGUUUCCCCUUGUCCCCAUUGCAGCAUGUAUGAAAUCCUUAACCCAUAUGGCAGAAACACACACAUACUCACACACGCGUAUGGGUGCAAAAGAGAAAGAUAAUUUCCUGACCGACAUAUAAUUUUCAUGGGGUUCUUCCCCAGUUAUGUGUCCAUUAAAACCUGAAAAGCUAGGCCUGGGGGUUUAGCUCGGUGGUGCUGUGCCUGCUUCCCAAGUGCAAGGUCCUAAGUUUGAUCCACGGUACCAAAAAAAAAGCUCACCCAGGGGUAAAAUCAGCAAUAUAGUAAUAUAUAUUCCCUCAUGUUUUGAGAAGUGCAUAAAGUUUCAUAUCCCUGUGGGGAUAGUCCAAUAAUGUUGGGACACUGGAAAUUUGUAGCCAAUUUGUGGUCUCGUAUGUCUUGAAGGCACUGCGCUCUAGUUUAACCACUGAUUCUUGGGCCAAUUUCUGACAUUUGUGCAUGUUUCCCAAGCUGGAGCUAAUUUUUGGUUUUUCUCUUAUUUGUGCCUUAUGAGUAUCCAUCCGAUUUCACUUUUUGAAAGAAAAAAAAAAAAGCGCAGGACACAAGGAUGAUUGUGAAAAGGCAAAUACUCUGGCUGGUGUGCUUCCUGAAAGGGUCAGGUUUAAAGGCUUUAAUUAAGCUUAUGAUUGCUAUUUCUUGAUCUCCCUAAAUGCAGUCAAAGAAUAUGUGUGUGGAGGUGUCCAAAAUUAGUGCCAUAAUAUCGAAUUUUUCUUCCCUCUGUCUUUGAGAGUUGAUGCUGUCAGGCACUUUGAAGUGUUUGGGGAAUUGAGAAGUAUGUGGAAAUACUGGGACGUCUCCCCCAAGCCAGUCAAGUCUGUAACCGGAAGCCAAGAGUUGGAUCUCUGAUCUGCUUUGGCCUCCUCCUUUUACUGUUUGUCAUCUUAUUCACCAGCACUUAAUCACAAUUCUAGCAUGGCCUGAGCCAGCAAACGGAGAAAAGCGAUCAAAAGCGAUCGGACAACCGUACCGAAUCACAAACACAAGGAGGCCCAUUCUCUGUAAUUAGGCAGCUGUGACAGGCGCCAUUCCUGGAACCACACUGAAGUGCAGUGCGGCAGAAGAGAGCGAAGCACAGGCUGCAUAGCUCCCUACCUACCCUGACCUGCGCUAAGAGCCCGCAGCGCUUCGUGCCUCCAGCCCUCGCCUGCUGUCCCCAACCUCGCUCCUGGAUGAACCCUGCUUUUUAAAACAGAAAAGUGGCCUGUCAACUGCCAAGAGUGCAGCCAAGAAGCCACAACUGGCCGCACUCCACGAGGCUCGGAAAUUGGCCACUUAAUGAAUAGAAACAGCUCCCAGAGUCGCUGCCUGUUACAGGGAUUAUUUGGGGGCAACACAGUGGUCACGUGGUCAUAGCCAGGAACAAAGGAUGAAGGGGAGAGUGGCGUGGAAAUCUCAGUACAGCCCCAGCUCUAAACAGAAUAUUUUCAUCUUUAUCUUGGGCUGUGCUUUGUCUCAAUCUGUACCUGAUGCUUUUG